This 89-nucleotide transfer RNA is filed under the name Aspergillus avenaceus. Its description in RNAcentral is "tRNA-Pro". Lineage: Eukaryota; Fungi; Ascomycota; Eurotiomycetes; Eurotiales; Aspergillaceae. The record is from RNAcentral.
GCCCGGAUGGUCUAGUGGUAUGAUUCUCGCUUCGGGUGCUUUACUAUCCAAUAUGCGAGAGGUCCCGCGUUCGAAUCGCGGUUCGGGCC